Molecule: ribosomal RNA, 263 nt
Filed under: uncultured bacterium
Lineage: Bacteria
Description: partial 16S ribosomal RNA
Rfam family: Bacterial small subunit ribosomal RNA
Source: RNAcentral
GCAAGUCGAACGGAACGACGAAAACAAUCCCUUCGGGGUGCGUCUUCGGGCGUCGAGUGGCGGACGGUUGCGUAACGCGUAGGAAUCUACCUUAUAGUGGGGGACAACUCGAGGAAACCCGAGCUAAUACCGCAUAAUCCUUACGAGGGAAAGCAGGGGAUCUUCGGACCUUGUGCUAUUGGAUGAGCCUGCGUGGGAUUAGCUUGUUGGUAGGGUAAUGGCUUACCAAGGCAACGAUCCGUAGCUGGUCUGAGAGGAUGACC